ACGACCAUAUCACGUUGAAACACUGUUUCUAGUACGAUCGCCAAAGUUAAACAACCUCGAGCUUGGUCAGUACCAAGAUGGGUGACCGCUUGGAAAUACAGGA
This is a non-coding RNA of Acanthosepion pharaonis, 103 nucleotides long. The record is from the annotation of a GenBank genome assembly. Lineage: Eukaryota; Metazoa; Mollusca; Cephalopoda; Sepiida; Sepiidae.